Non-coding RNA from Ictidomys tridecemlineatus (thirteen-lined ground squirrel), 828 nucleotides. The record is from RefSeq and is a predicted model, not a curated record. Lineage: Eukaryota; Metazoa; Chordata; Mammalia; Rodentia; Sciuridae.
UUCCCCUGGUUUUCCUCCAAUCUCUUCACUCCUCUUGCUCAUUCUUGCUCGAUAAAUAGAGGUGUGCCACCAAGCUCAAGACAGGGUUAUUUCUUCUUCUCCAAAUCCACUCUCACUGAAGACACAUGUUACCAGCCCCUCUUUUAUAGCACCUACACUCAUCUUCAAGAAAAAGUGUCCGCUAGUGGAGUCUUCUUUGCCAGGACUUGGUAAGUUGUUCUGUACCAAGUGCUCCACCAUCUCAAAGCUCAACACAACUAAACGUCUUCCUUUGUUACUAGAAAUCAGGACAACUUUCAGGAAAUGUCCACCUAGCAACUCAACAAUCCAGGCUACUUCAGUCCUAUGGUUCCCUCAGCUCAAUCGUGGUUGCUUUAGAUUGUGAGGCAGGGAAGUGACCACUACAGUCAUGCCAAAAUGUCCUAUCUUUUUCCUUAGGUACAAAGCACACCCUAAUUUACCACAACCCAUUGAUCCCAACCAAAUGCACUGUUCCCCAUAACCACAAGGAGAAGGAGGAAAAUUAUAUCACUUUGUGCCCAGGAAGAGAGGAAAACUGAGUUAUGUUGAAUGCUAGAAAUUUCUUCAGCAUCCUUACAAUUCCCUCUUCUCUUCCUGCUGGGGCCUCUUCCAUUUUUGCCUGUUCAAGUUCAGAUCUAAGUGAGCAAUUUAACAGUUACCCUGUUUCCUCUUCCUCCUACUGAAACAUCAGUGUAGAUGUCAGCCAUUACUCUGCAGGACCUACAGGGACAAGGACCUUCUGUUUCAUUCAUCAACAUGUUCUUGGCAUCUAGCACUGUGUAUCUCAAUAAAACUUGCUUAAAUUGA